RNAcentral lists this long non-coding RNA (361 nucleotides) under Elaeis guineensis (African oil palm). RNAcentral's name for it is "long non-coding RNA (EGUI_LNC025261)". The record is from RNAcentral. Lineage: Eukaryota; Viridiplantae; Streptophyta; Magnoliopsida; Arecales; Arecaceae.
GGGGUCAAAGUCAAUUACAUGAGAGAUGAAAGGGAUGAUAGAGCUCUCAAAAUGGAAGGUGAUCUCCAUGUAGAAGUCUCUCAUCCUCCACAUGGGGGUGAUGAGAAAGUAGCAGCACCACUUGGCCCAAACUUAGCUAGGAUUGAUAGUGGUGGACAAUGAUACAAGUGAGAUGCUCCUCAUAGGCUCAUAUGGUCUCGUGGAGGGCACUCCAGCCUUGUCAUUGUAGAAGCUCUACUCAGCACCAACGGUCAUGGGAAGAUCAGCAAUGGUAGGGGAUGUCAUCUCAAUUGGGACAUCACGAUGGUCUGCCACAACGAAUAUGGCAUCGGCCUUGGCCUCAUCACAGUGGAUAGCAAGU